RNAcentral lists this long non-coding RNA (220 nucleotides) under Gallus gallus (chicken). The record is from RNAcentral. Lineage: Eukaryota; Metazoa; Chordata; Aves; Galliformes; Phasianidae.
UGCUCCGCUUCGACUUGCUCACUUGCAGCUUGGUCACCGGCCGUAGGACCCUGAUCUCCAGCAGGUUGGAGGUCCUGUCUGCCAGCCGAGUCCAGCUGCUGUUGUAGUUCUUCCUCCAGAGCUCGGCCACACACUGGUACUUGCCGGCCUCUGUGUCGCUUGCCCGGCUGAUGCUGAGGCGCACAUUGUUGCUAGACUCAGCCUUCUCGAUGGCAGUACG